Molecule: ribosomal RNA, 253 nt
Filed under: uncultured bacterium
Lineage: Bacteria
Description: partial 16S ribosomal RNA
Rfam family: Bacterial small subunit ribosomal RNA
Source: RNAcentral
UACGUAGGGGCCGAGCGUUGUCCGGAGUUACUGGGCGUAAAGCGCGCGCAGGCGGCGCAUCGCGCCCGGCGUGAAAGCCCCCGGCUCAACCGGGGAGGGUCGUCGGGGACGGGUGCGCUUGAGGACGGCAGGGGCAGGUGGAAUUCCCGGUGUAGUGGUGAAAUGCGUAGAGAUCAUGAGGAAGACCAGUGGCGAAGGCGGGUCUCUGGACAGUUCCUGACACUGAGACACGAAGGCCAGGGGAGCAAACGGG